RNAcentral lists this ribosomal RNA (815 nucleotides) under Staphylococcus pseudoxylosus. Its description in RNAcentral is "bacterial SSU rRNA". It matches the Rfam family "Bacterial small subunit ribosomal RNA", at positions 76 to 875 of the family's 1533-position model. Lineage: Bacteria; Bacillati; Bacillota; Bacilli; Caryophanales; Staphylococcaceae. The record is from RNAcentral.
GAGCUUGCUCCUUUGACGUUAGCGGCGGACGGGUGAGUAACACGUGGGUAACCUACCUAUAAGACUGGGAUAACUUCGGGAAACCGGAGCUAAUACCGGAUAACAUUUGGAACCGCAUGGUUCUAAAGUGAAAGAUGGUUUUGCUAUCACUUAUAGAUGGACCCGCGCCGUAUUAGCUAGUUGGUAAGGUAACGGCUUACCAAGGCAACGAUACGUAGCCGACCUGAGAGGGUGAUCGGCCACACUGGAACUGAGACACGGUCCAGACUCCUACGGGAGGCAGCAGUAGGGAAUCUUCCGCAAUGGGCGAAAGCCUGACGGAGCAACGCCGCGUGAGUGAUGAAGGGUUUCGGCUCGUAAAACUCUGUUAUUAGGGAAGAACAAAUGUGUAAGUAACUGUGCACAUCUUGACGGUACCUAAUCAGAAAGCCACGGCUAACUACGUGCCAGCAGCCGCGGUAAUACGUAGGUGGCAAGCGUUAUCCGGAAUUAUUGGGCGUAAAGCGCGCGUAGGCGGUUUCUUAAGUCUGAUGUGAAAGCCCACGGCUCAACCGUGGAGGGUCAUUGGAAACUGGGAAACUUGAGUGCAGAAGAGGAAAGUGGAAUUCCAUGUGUAGCGGUGAAAUGCGCAGAGAUAUGGAGGAACACCAGUGGCGAAGGCGACUUUCUGGUCUGUAACUGACGCUGAUGUGCGAAAGCGUGGGGAUCAAACAGGAUUAGAUACCCUGGUAGUCCACGCCGUAAACGAUGAGUGCUAAGUGUUAGGGGGUUUCCGCCCCUUAGUGCUGCAGCUAACGCAUUAAGCACUCCGCCUG